AACGAACGCUGGCGGCAGGCCUAACACAUGCCAGUCGAGCGCGCCCUUCGGGGUGAGCGGCGGACGGGUGAGUAACGCGUGGGAACGUGCCCUUCUCUGCGGAAUAGCCUCGGGAAACUGAGAGUAAUACCGCAUACGCCCUUUGGGGGAAAGAUUUAUCGGAGAAGGAUCGGCCCGCGUUGGAUUAGGUAGUUGGUGGGGUAAUGGCCCACCAAGCCGACGAUCCAUAGCUGGUUUGAGAGGAUGAUCAGCCACACUGGGACUGAGACACGGCCCAGCCUCCUACGGGAGGCAGCAGUGGGGAAUCUUAGACAAUGGGGGCAACCCUGAUCGAGCCAUGCCGCGUGAGUGAUGAAGGCCUUAGGGUUGUAAAGCUCUUUCAGCUGGGAAGAUAAUGACGGUACCAGCAGAAGAAGCCCCGGCUAACUCCGUG
This 433-nucleotide ribosomal RNA is filed under the name uncultured bacterium. Its description in RNAcentral is "partial 16S ribosomal RNA". It matches the Rfam family "Bacterial small subunit ribosomal RNA", at positions 29 to 507 of the family's 1533-position model. The record is from RNAcentral.